Molecule: non-coding RNA, 69 nt
Organism: Rattus norvegicus (Norway rat)
Lineage: Eukaryota; Metazoa; Chordata; Mammalia; Rodentia; Muridae
Source: Rfam
GGGGAUUUAGCUCAAUGGUAGAGCGCUUGCCUAGCAAGCACAAGGCCCUGGGUUCGGUCCUCAGCUCCG